AUAUAGCAGCCUGGAUAUAGCCAUAGCUCUAGUGAAUCAGCAUCUCUAAUGAUAGGGCCCAAAAGUCUGUAUGUAUUGAUGUAGCUAGACCUCAAUCUGUAUUUGGAAAUUACUUCUUUAGGCUAUUUAGAUGAUCAAAUGUACACAAAAUAAUUAAUACUGUAAUGGUGAGGGUGACUUUAAUGCAAUAUUUUUUAAACUCACUACACAUCAAAUUCACCUUAGAGUCUUGUUUGUUGUCAUUUCUGACAUACUACAUCAGAAUCUUUGAGGGAAGGUCGAGGUAUUUACAUUUUUAAAAAGCUUUCUAGGUGAUUCCAGUGAGUCAGGGUGGGAAGGCAUUACUCUACUGCUUGAAGUAGACUGAGGGAGGUCAGAUGUAGCUUCAUUACACUUAAUAGCUUAAGCCAGUGCUCUCUUUUAAACUUGUAGAAUCUCAAAAUUUCCUAAGUAAAACGCCUCCUGAUUAUAGCUGUAGGAGAUAGAGAUAAAAGUACAUAUGUUUCAAGGAAGGUCUCAUAAGAGUAGAAGUUGAAGGUAGUUACCUUAAAGGAUUAGUGGUAUUUCUGACAGAUGGAAAGGAAAGAGAAGAUAUUAAUAAAGACCCAAAGGAACAAGACAAUACUUGUCUUGUUCAAUAUUAUAUUCCCAAGGAAGCCUACUAAAAUGCUCGUCACAAAGCAGGCCCACAAUAAAUACUUGUGGGUUAAAUGCAUGAUAGAUAUAUAGAUAUUAGAUGUUUGGGAAUCUAGAUUAAAGAAAGGAAAAUGCCACAGGGAAGAAAUUAGGAAGACUGUUCCCAUACUUUAAGUGUACCGUGAUAAGUACCUGGAUAAGGAGGGUAACAAUAGGAACAGAGACAAAAAGGAAAAUUAAAGAUAUUGACAGAAAUAACUGGUGUCUAAAUGGAUAUAGUGCAGAAAUAGUGAAGCAACAAGGACAAGCCAAGAAGCCUAACAGUGGAGGGGAUGGCAGUAAUAAAGAUGAAAAGCUCAAUGUGGACAGGAGUUUAAGUCACAUUCAAGUGAAAAUAUUCUUUAGUCAGAUAGUGGUUUAAGAGCCAACGAUAAUUAGAUGUUAUCCCUAACUCCUUCUUCUCCAUUAAAACCUCCAUGCUGUAAAUCGCCAAGUUCUCAUGAUUUAACAUCCUAAAUAUACCUUGACUGCCUCCCCUCUCCUUCAUUCUAUGACACAUGUCUACAAUAAUCUCCAUAUCUACUUAGAUUAUUUAACAGCCUCCUAAGUGGCCCCUUUGCCUCCAGUCUUAUUUCCUCAAGUCCACUGUGAUAGGCAGCUUCAAAUAUGGAUCCCGAUGACCUGUGUCUCCCUAGUAUUCACGCUCUUGUGUAAUCCCUUUCCCUUGAGUGUAAGCUGGACCUAGUGACUCGCUGCUAAUAAACAGAGUAU
Ceratotherium simum simum (southern white rhinoceros) is the source of this 1407-nucleotide non-coding RNA. NCBI's taxonomy places the organism in Eukaryota, Metazoa, Chordata, Mammalia, Perissodactyla, Rhinocerotidae. The record is from RefSeq and is a predicted model, not a curated record.